GCGUGCUUAACACAUGCAAGUCGAGCGGUAAGGCCUUUCGGGGUACACGAGCGGCGAACGGGUGAGUAACACGUGGGUGACCUGCCCUCAGCUCUGGGAUAAGCCUGGGAAACUGGGUCUAAUACCGGAUAGGACUUCGCAUCGCAUGGUGUGGGGUGGAAAGUUUUUCGGCUGGGGAUGGGCCCGCGGCCUAUCAGCUUGUUGGUGGGGUGAUGGCCUACCAAGGCGUCGACGGGUAGCCGGCCUGAGAGGGCGACCGGCCACACUGGGACUGAGACACGGCCCAGACUCCUACGGGAGGCAGCAGUGGGGAAUAUUGCGCAAUGGGCGGAAGCCUGACGCAGCGACGCCGCGUGGGGGAUGACGGCCUUCGGGUUGUAAACCUCUUUCGACCGGGACGAAGCUUUGUGUGACGGUACCGGUAGAAGAAGCACCGGCCAACUACGUGCCAGCAGCCGCGGUAAUACGUAGGGUGCGAGCGUUGUCCGGAAUUAUUGGGCGUAAAGAGCUCGUAGGCGGUGUGUCGCGUCGGUCGUGAAAACUUGAGGCUUAACCUUGAGCUUGCGGUCGAUACGGGCAUCACUUGAGUUCGGCAGGGGAGACUGGAAUUCCUGGUGUAGCGGUGAAAUGCGCAGAUAUCAGGAGGAACACCGGUGGCGAAGGCGGGUCUCUGGGCCGAUACUGACGCUGAGGAGCGAAAGCGUGGGGAGCGAACAGGAUUAGAUACCCUGGUAGUCCACGCCGUAAACGGUGGGCGCUAGGUGUGGGGGCCAUUCCACGGUCUCUGUGCCGCAGCUAANCGCAUAANCGCCCGCU
Molecule: ribosomal RNA, 816 nt
Filed under: Pseudonocardia sp. CC030105-13
Lineage: Bacteria; Bacillati; Actinomycetota; Actinomycetes; Pseudonocardiales; Pseudonocardiaceae
Description: bacterial SSU rRNA
Rfam family: Bacterial small subunit ribosomal RNA
Source: RNAcentral